GCCUGGGUGGCUCAGUCGGUUAAGCGUCCGACUUCGGCUCAGGUCAUGAUCUUGCAGUUUGUGGGUUCGAGCCCCACAUCAGGCU
This 85-nucleotide transfer RNA is filed under the name Felis catus (domestic cat). It matches the Rfam family "tRNA". Rfam says of the family: Transfer RNA (tRNA) molecules are approximately 80 nucleotides in length. Lineage: Eukaryota; Metazoa; Chordata; Mammalia; Carnivora; Felidae. The record is from Rfam by way of RNAcentral.